CUACAUUUCCGUUCUUUACUCUCCUAUUCGAGCUUCAUACUUUGUAAUUCUGGGUCUUGCUUUCCCAGCCAGGUGAUGUUCCCCUAGUGAGUUCUUCCAAGGCCACCACAGUUGGCCAACAGUUGGGGUAAAACAAAAUGCUCGAUGGAAUCAAGCGGAAAGGCAGACCUUUAUUGCAGCCUGCGAGACUGCCAUUGCCGAACACAAAACAUGGCUGGGAAAUGUGGUGGCGCUAUUCAACUCGGUGUUCGGACAUAGUUGGACUAAACAAAAACUCCGCAACCAUUGGGAUGCAUUGCGUCGAGAGCAUAGAAGUCUGUCGGAGCUGCUUAAUAGCAGCGGGGUUGCAUACGAUGAUUCGAUUGGUAGAAUUGUUGCCUCCGAGGAGUGGUGGUCACAAAAAUUUAAGGUAACGACUUUGUCCUCCAAUGGUGCAUACGGUAAAUCUAUAAUUCAAUUAUCAGAAUUCCAUUGCUAAGAUUUCCAUUUUGAGGUGACAAUUAACAAUGUUUUCACAUGUCUGACCGGCCUCAUUAAUCUGAAAUGGCAUACUGCUUUUACUUCUUGGGGGUAGGAAGAUAUGGUUUACAUAGUAUCGACUAACGUUUUGAAAAAAUGAAUCCCUUGUGCACAUUUUCAUAAUUGCUCACUCACGACAUAGACAAAUGAGGAAUGCAUUUUUUUUAGCCCACAUGUUACUGAACUGUGUUUUACAUAAGCAGAAGCCACUUCGUAGUGCACUUGUUGUACUGCCUUUUGUUCCUGCCUCCGCACAUAACUCACUGAACUGUAUUUUGUUGUCGUGCAUGGGAGGGCAUUGGGGGCAAACUGUUGGUGCAAUUUAUGAAUGGGAUAUUGGAGUACAGUUUCUAUGUCCCGUUCACACCUCGUGCGAUGUUGAUUUAACUAUUUUUCCUGAUUUUGUCGUAGGAGAACAAGGAGUACAAGAACUUCAAGGAUCGAGACGUGAGCGACAUUUACAUUCAAUAUCGUUUGCUAUUCGAGGACAGUUACAACAGCGAAAAGUACGUAGUUACCCCCAACAAAGCUGUGCAGAACUGGAUUCGAAUGUUUUGAGGACAGUGCUCUUGAAGACCACAGAGAUGCAAUCCCUAUCGAGGGUGAGGGCAGCAGUUCAAAUGACGAGGGCGAUGGGAACGGUAGCAAAAGCAUGAGCAUGUCGAGGCCCAAAAGUGGCGAUAAAAUGAAGUCGUCAACGUUGAAGCAGCAUAGGAAGAAAAAAGCAUGUUUUGGCUCGUGAACUGUCCUUCUUGGUCGAUCAGGCGAACAGUGCCACUGAGGUUGUAACGGCAAAGAUUAAUAGCAUCAUUGAUCCGACGGACAAUGCUAGAGCUGCAUGAGUAGAGGAAUUGCUUUCGACCGGUCGGCUACAAAGGCGGACGCCAAUGUACUUCUACGCUUGCACUCUCCUAGCACAAAUAAGAUUUCGAGACAUGCUCAGUGUCAUGCAAGAUGCCGAUGAGAAGUUCGAAUGGAUCGAGUGGCAGUUCAGCGAACGUAAUAGAUCACUGCAUUAGCUUGUUUCGGUAUGCGUUGGCUUGACUGUAUGUUGCCCUUUGUAUGCUUCAUGAGUUCGUGUUGUAAUAUUUGAAUUUUGUUGUUUUUUUCCUUGAUUGCCAGUAUGCGUGACAUACUCUAGGUUUGCAUGCCGCCUAGUGUUGGAAACGUUUAUUUUG
This 1697-nucleotide long non-coding RNA is filed under the name Olea europaea subsp. europaea. The record is from RNAcentral. Lineage: Eukaryota; Viridiplantae; Streptophyta; Magnoliopsida; Lamiales; Oleaceae.